Molecule: long non-coding RNA, 894 nt
Filed under: Homo sapiens (human)
Lineage: Eukaryota; Metazoa; Chordata; Mammalia; Primates; Hominidae
Description: long intergenic non-protein coding RNA 2823
Source: RNAcentral
UUGAAAAAUACUAGGAAACACACUCGCUUCAGCCUGCACCAACCAAAAUGACUGCUCAAAGGCCAUUCAGCCCCUUUAUCACUGUGGCUCAACUUUGAUUUUCUUCCCAGUUCAUCCAUGAUUCAGACUUCUUCUGUUUCAGGAGCUUUGCCCAUGCGUUCUGCCACCUUCUGCCAGGAAUUACACCUGUCCCAUCCCGUCGUCUCCUGAAUGUCCAGAGACAGGGGUCUCCCCGUGUUGUCCAGAACGGUCUUGAACUCCUGGUCUUCAAGCAAUCUUCCUGCCUUGGUCUCUCAAAGUGCUGGGAUUACAAGUGUGAGCCACCAUACCCGGUCAUAGCGCUCUUAUAAAAUGCAUCAUCACAUUUAUUUUAUAAAUUCAGAAACAAAAGUCUGUAUAGAGAAGUUUUGAAGUUACUAGGGACCUGAAAAUCAUACUGAAGAUGUCUGCAACUAAAAACUCGAAGAGUUCCGAGGCUAGAGGGGUCAGGAGAUGAAUAAAAACGUUAGCCCCAGCUGAUCACAAUGAGGUUAAUCACAAUACUAAUUAAAAAUACUACAGAUCCUAGGACAAUGGUCAGAAGAGUGACUAUACUUUCCUGUUUGCCCUUGGAAAAUCGAGGGCUGACUUUUCUACGUGCUCAGAUAACCUAAAUUGAUAGAGAGAAAGCUAGCAGAGGAUAAGAUAAACUAGUUAACUGUAAAUAAGAUUUUGCUGUUGGAGAAUCUUCUUGUUGCUCUGGUUUUAGAUAGCGGAGGAAGCCAAAAAAUAUCUGCUUUAAGUUACCAGGAGUUGAAGUUCAUCCCUGCUGAAGUUAACAGGUUGCUUCCCUUUUUCUGGUGUAUUCUUACUUUACUGGCAAAGAGAAAAUAAAUUAAUACCUUAUUGUUAAAA